Molecule: ribosomal RNA, 490 nt
Filed under: uncultured bacterium
Lineage: Bacteria
Description: partial 16S ribosomal RNA
Rfam family: Bacterial small subunit ribosomal RNA
Source: RNAcentral
AUUGAACGCUGGCGGCAGGCCUAACACAUGCCAGUCGAACGGUAACAGGAAGAAGCUUGCUUCUUUGCUGACGAGUGGCGGACGGGUGAGUAAUGUCUGGGAAACUGCCUGAUGGAGGGGGAUAACUACUGGAAACGGUAGCUAAUACCGCAUAACGUCGCAAGACCAAAGAGGGGGACCUUCGGGCCUCUUGCCAUCGGAUUUGCCCAGAUGGGAUUAGCUAGUAGGUGGGGUAACGGCUCACCUAGGCGACGAUCCCUCGCUGGUCUGAGAGGAUGACCAGCCACACUGGAACUGAGACACGGUCCAGACUCCUACGGGAGGCAGCAGUGGGGAAUAUUGCACAAUGGGCGCAAGCCUGAUGCAGCCAUGCCGCGUGUAUGAAGAAGGCCUUCGGGUUGUAAAGUACUUUCAGCGGGGAGGAAGGGAGUAAAGUUAAUACCUUUGCUCAUUGACGUUACCCGCAGAAGAAGCACCGGCUAACUCCGUG